CCGCGCCGGGCGGAGCCGUGGGUCCGUCCCCCAGAGGAACGGGGUGUAACGUUCCGGUGUAUUUAAUGUUCCAGACUGGGCGAUAUCUCUUUCUCCUCCUCAUCCCAUUGAAAGGGCGUCUGAACAAAUGGCUGUGUGGUGUUUUGCUGCCUGCCAGGUUAGACCACAGUAACAGUAGCCCCUUCCAUUGAGCCAAGAGGUACAGAGAGGGUGUUAAACUCCUUGAACCACAGAGAUAAUGAAUCUAGAUGUGGCUGGAUCCACUUAAAGUUCCUUACUUGGUCAGUGGUUUACGUCUAUGGGAUCAUAUGUGCACAAGCAAUUAAGAUGGAAUCUUAGUGAAGUUGUUCUUCUGUAACUGUAAUGUGCUGAGCACUCAAAUGAGCAACCAUUUGUUCGGAUCCAGAGAGAGCUCCUGUGACAAAUGAGCAUGUGAUUAGAUGCAUGGCCUCCCUGAUAAUGCUACUGAGUCUUCUGAUUGAUGUUUCACCUGGAGUCUUUUUCAUGUGUAAGAACGUCAGAGGAAUUUUCAUUCACAUGCCCGUUUGUAAUGGAAUAGAAAAGGGACACCUCGGCCUCCUUUUCGCUGUGACUAAAGGGAAAUCUUAGAGUGGCUCAAUGAAGACCUCAGGAAAUCUUCAGGAGGAAUCUGUUCUGAUCUCACCUCGUGUGUGCAGUGCAUAGAAGUGAAUGACACAUAAUUAGACUGGGAAAGGAGAACAGCAACUUGUGCAACCUCUGAUGAAUACUACCAUGGCAGAACUGGUCAGAUGCAGCUCUACGGACAUCACCAAGAGGGGCAUUCUUGGAAGAACUCAAAAAUGCUGUAGAAGAUACGGGGAGUAGGAAACGUGCUACACAGCAGAUAAGAACAAGAACACCCUCAGAUCAAAACUGCACUGACUCUUUUGUAUUUACUGAGCCAGAAGUAAGGCAGCACUCUUAUUUUAAUGGUUUUUUGACACUUCUCAGCUCUGAAUAAAUGUGUUUCUAAAGGC
Coturnix japonica (Japanese quail) is the source of this 998-nucleotide non-coding RNA. The record is from RefSeq and is a predicted model, not a curated record. Lineage: Eukaryota; Metazoa; Chordata; Aves; Galliformes; Phasianidae.